Molecule: ribosomal RNA, 496 nt
Filed under: uncultured bacterium
Lineage: Bacteria
Description: bacterial SSU rRNA
Rfam family: Bacterial small subunit ribosomal RNA
Source: RNAcentral
GAUGAACGCUAGCGGCAGGCUUAACACAUGCAAGUCGAGGGGUAGAGGUUGCUUGCAACCUUGAGACCGGCGCACGGGUGCGUAACGCGUAUGCAACCUACCUUUUACAGAGGGAUAGCCCAGAGAAAUUUGGAUUAAUACCUCAUAGUAUAUAACAUUCGCAUGUUUGUUAUAUUAAAGUUCCAACGGUAAAAGAUGGGCAUGCGUCCUAUUAGCUAGAUGGUAAGGUAACGGCUUACCAUGGCCACGAUAGGUAGGGGUCCUGAGAGGGAGAUCCCCCACACUGGUACUGAGACACGGACCAGACUCCUACGGGAGGCAGCAGUGAGGAAUAUUGGACAAUGGGCGCAAGCCUGAUCCAGCCAUGCCGCGUGCAGGAAGAAGCAUCUAUGGUGUGUAAAACUGCUUUUUGUACGGGAAGAAACACUCCUUCGUGAAGGAGCUUGACGGUACCGUAAGAAUAAGGAUCGGCUAACUCCGUGCCAGCAGCCGCGGU